RNAcentral lists this long non-coding RNA (5525 nucleotides) under Selaginella moellendorffii. Its description in RNAcentral is "long non-coding RNA (SMOE_LNC002035)". The stretch from base 923 to 953 matches the Rfam family "Iron response element II". The record is from RNAcentral. Lineage: Eukaryota; Viridiplantae; Streptophyta; Lycopodiopsida; Selaginellales; Selaginellaceae.
CACAGGAGGUAUGUAAUGCUUACAUAUGGUUUUUCCGUCACCUUGUUUGCUUCUUUCUUGCAGGAAAUAAUUGGAGUGUUUAACGGCAACUGCAUGAUCAACUACUCCGCCUACAGGUGUAUCUUCCCAAUCUGGGCACUCGGACAAUACCGCAGCCGCGUGCUCAAGCGUCCAGCAAUUGAGUCUUUUAUUAGUUUCCAGCAACACAUAAACCAUGACACAUAAAGCAUCGCUUUGCUAAAAUUUUACCUAUGGAAUCCCAGCUCGUUUUUAGCUGGCUCGCGGCCGUCCAGUGUUGUUGUGGAAGCCCUGGAAGUCAAACAUGUCUUCUUCAAUAUGGCAGUGGCAUCCUGAAACAAAACGUGUGCUUAUCAAAAACAGAUGUCAGGCUCGAUCACCACUUUCACUGAUUCAUCGUUCUUCUGGGGAAUGGACUCCCACCCCUGACGUGUCCAUCAUGUGUAAUAAGCUACCAAUAGUGAAUAUCUUCGUUGAUAGUAUCAUCUCUACUGCAAAUUUGUUUGCUUGGGCACGCAUAUUAUACAACAACUUCGAAUUCAAAUUAAAGUUCUUCAUUUAUAUAUCGACUACUCGAAGUCCCAGAUUGGCACUAGUGGAAGUGGACUGUAAAGUUUUAUAUAUAGAGAGCGAGAGAUCUCAGCUGACAACUUAAAUUAUCAAGAUACUACUGCUGAACUGUCAAGAUAUUGCUGUUGAACUAUCAUUAUCUUGACUAAAGCUUUGAUAUCUAUUAUAACAUAGUCUGAUCCAAAGCCUAAUUUGGUCAUAACUCAAACCAUUGUUGGCAUACCAAUCUUUGCAGCUUUUUGGUAAUUUAGGGUUGUGCUAAAUGUCAAUUCUACAACAGAAUGAGAAAAUAAAUUACAUAUCUCACAAGGGAUAGACAAACUCAGUGGAAUAAAACACUUCAUGGACAGUGUUUCAUAAGUGAUUGACGAAGUUGAAGCCAAUGGCAUAAAACACCCUGGCAUGCUAUAAACCCUCUAAAACCCUAGUAUUGACUUUUCAGAAUAUUUUAAUUUACUUGUUUGAUAAAAAAGGGUGUGAAGAAUAUAUCUAAAUAUAUUCCAGAUUAUUUCUCAAUUUAACAGUUGAGAUUUUCAGCUGCUAAACUUCUCAAAUCAAGGUUUAAUGUUAAAAUUCUUACCUACUAAAAUUAAAUUACAGUUAAAAAGCCAAGAACCACCACCUUAAAAGGUUAAAGGUUUCUAUUUCGUAGUUUGUGGUUGCCGUCCUCCAAGUUCUCAAAGACUAUAUCGCACAGAGAAUUAGGGCUAUUUAUACCCCCAUUCCCAAAAGCCAUGAUCACUUCGGCCUAGUUUUUUCCAGUUAUAGUCUAACUAUUGACAUGUAGGUAGAAUACCAUGAGAUCGAAUGAACACUUCAUUUAGAGCCGGAGGACAAAUUGAUUGCCAUACAUAGACAGCAUAUGGAAUGUGUUGUUUGAUAGCAUGGUGCCUAUGAAGAAGCACUCAUAUGAUAUCACUUGUUCUUAUAUCUAUAGUCACUCUUAGAAGUUACGAAGAAGAGCAAAUAUGAAUUUGCAACGAAAGUGAAGUAUUUAAACCACAUUGUGAUAUGCUCUUACAAAAUCCAAUCCAUACUGAUGAAACUCAAUCCGCCCAAAAGUAACCGCCAAAAGAGAAGAGCUCAAAAUUCUUUAAAAGAAGUUAUAUACACUAGGGUAACACUUUAGGCAAAGUGCUAAAGAAAAUUACAUGAUGAGAAGAAUCCUCGAGUACGUUAGUAAGAUGAAUACUAGUGUUCAAGACAAGCUCAAGAGUACACAUUCCUGGUUUUGAAUUUAUAAAAGAACAAUGCACCCCAAGUUGACCAGAAAUUCGGGAUUUCAGCAUACAUGCCCAUAAACAAUAUAGCAAAAUGGAAAAGUAGCAUGGGUAUCUAGGAUUGCAUUUUAGAGACAGCUCAAGUCUCACUGGUAGUUGCCCUCUCAACCUCAAAAAUGAGUUACGUAAAUAUUACCUAUAUGUAUACAAUAUAAUAUUUGAGUAAUACGCCAUGUGGUCCAAAAGUCAUUGCACACUUACUGUUAGCUUGAAGCGAUCUUAAAACGGGCGUAAGCCCGUCAGAACUCCCUUGCCUAGACUUUCACAAACCGCCACCUCACCCCUGUGCUUCAUCGGAUUGGUGAAUCUUGAUAGCAAUGUGGAAGCUCCAUGUCUCCAGCGCUGGCGAUUCUUCUUCCGCGGCCCCCCUUAGCACUCUCAACGAUCUCGUCGGCCGCCAGAUCUGGUGCUACGACGAGGCCAUCGGCAGCGACGAGGAUCGCGCGCGCGUCCAAGAGGCUCGGGAUCACUUCACCAAGAAUCGUCAUGUCCACAAGCACAGCUCCGAUCUCCUCAUGCGAAUGCAGGUAUGCUGGUGGAAUUCCUGAUUUUCGAAUCUCCAAUCUUUCCUCUCUUCUCGCAUAGCUCUCCAAGGCUGCACAGCCGCUGCCCCAAAUCCCUCCUCCAGUGAAGGUCCAAGGCGAUGCGGAGAUCAAGCAGAGCGAUGUCGAGACCACGAUUCGUCGUGCCUUGCGAUUUUACUCCACCAUUCAAGCCGAGGACGGCCACUGGCCUGGCGAUUACGGAGGUCCCAUGUUUCUCAUGCCGGGAUUGGUAUGAGCUUAUCUUUGGGAUUUCUUACAUGCCAAACGAUGGUGUAUUAUCAGAUCAUUGCUUUGUACGUCACUGGAGCGAUCAACGUGGUUUUGUCACCGGAGCACCAACGAGAAAUGUGUAGAUACUUUUUCAAUCACCAGGUGUGUAAUCUUUCUUUCUACCGAUGUUCGUGAAUUUUUCGUCUUUCUGGAAGAACGAAGAUGGCGGCUGGGGACUGCACAUUGAAGGGCACAGCACGAUGUUUGGCACUGUACUUGUAUAUGUUUCUCUACGGCUACUUGGCCAAGAACCAGACAAGCCGGCCAUGGAGAGCGCCCUUUCAUGGAUUUUUGGUCAUGGAGGGACCAUCGCCAUUCCGUCCUGGGGAAAGUUUUGGCUCGCGGUACCUGAAGGAAAAUUCAAGUUGUUUCUUUGUUAUUGACGAUAACCUUUUUCUUGUAAGGUUCUUGGAGUGUUCGAUUGGUCGGGAGUUAAUCCCCUACCGCCAGAAAUGUAUUUGCUGCCGUAUGCGAUUCCCCUUCAUCCAGGUAUCCCCUUAAUUAUUUGUUCUCUACGUAUGCUCAAAGUUUUCUUUAGGACGUAUGUGGUGUCAUUGCCGGAUGGUUUAUCUUCCUAUGAGCUAUCUCUACGGUCGUCGUUUCACUGGAAAAAUCACACCCAAGGUUGAAGCUCUGAGAAAGGAGCUCUUUAACGGACCCUUUGAAGACGUGGAUUGGAAUCGUGCGCGAAAUACUUGUGCGAAGGUAAAAUUUUCUGCGCACCCGAGAAGGGUGCAUUUAUUUUUAUCAACUUACAGAAAGCAUUUCUUGAUGACUGGUAUGCAGGAAGAUCUGUAUUAUCCUCAUCCGCUCAUACAAGAUGUUCUUUGGGGAGUUUUGCAUAAAGGUGUGGAGCCUCUUUUAAUGCGUUGGCCAGGAUCAUUGCUGCGCAAGAAGGCGCUUGAUACGGUUCUCGAGCAUAUCCACUACGAGGAUGUCAAUACGAGAUAUAUAUGCAUUGGGUCUGUUCACAAGGUGGGAAUCGUUUUGCUCCUCUAUCUAUUUAGUUUAUUGUUCCAGUCAGGUCAUUAACAUGCUUUGCUGUUGGGCGGAGGACCCAAACUCCGAAGCUUUCAAACAGCAUUUGCCCCGAAUUCAUGAUUAUCUCUGGGUUGCGGAAGAUGGGCUGAAAAUGCAGGUAAAAGGAUUUUUAGAAUUUUUUUUUAAAAAAUUUAUUUGUUACGUAACCAAGAAACAUAUAAGGCAUACAAUGGCAGUCAACUUUGGGAUACAGCUUUUGCUGUACAAGCGAUAAUAUCAACGGACAUGCUUGAAGAAUCCCGGGAGAUGCUGAAGAAAGCUCAUUCCUACAUAGAAAAAUCACAGGUUUGUAACAAGAAUCACUAUACGUUGGUUAUCACGAUCUUCCUCCCAAAGGUACGCGAAGACUGUCCCGGGGAUUUGGACUAUUUCCAUCGACAUAUAUCAAAUGGAGCAUGGCCAUUGUCUAACAGAGAUCACGGAUGGCCUAUAUCUGAUUGUACUUCUGAAGGCUUGAAGGUAUUAUUGACCAUGAGCUAUCUAUCUUGUGAUGGAACAUUUUGUUACAGAGUGUGUUGCUUCUAUCCCGCAUUUCAUCGGACGUUGUUGGGAAGCCCUUAUCUCCAGAACGACUCUAUGAUUGCGUCAAUAUGAUCAUUUCAUAUCAGGUACAAUACUCCUCGGAUAAGUUGGCCGCUAACUCGUGAAAUCAGAACGCUAAUGGAGGAGUCGCAUCAUACGAGUUGACACGGUCAUAUGCUUGGAUCGAGGUGAGAUGAAAGGAUGGGUUUUAAGUGAUAACAUGUCGAAACUGCAGCUGUUCAACCCUUCAGAAACAUUUGGGGACAUCACAAUCGAUUACUCGUAAGAACUACAGCUAUCUAAGUAUGCCCUCUAACUGUGCGUUUGGUCUUUUUCUAGCUAUGUGGAAUGUACAUCAGCUUGCGUUCAGGCGCUCUGUGCUUUCAGCAGGCUCUACCCUGACCAUCGGUCCAAGGAAAUCGAACUAUUUGUGGCCAAAGGAUGCAAAUAUAUUGAAAGCAUUCAAAGACCUGAUGGCUCUUGGUAAGCUUGCAUUCUUUUUUCUAUUCUCAUACGUUUUUAAGGUACGGGUCAUGGGGUGUUUGUUUCACGUACGGCAUCUGGUUUGGAGUCCUAGGCUUGGUUGCCGCUGGCAAAAGCUAUAAGCACUCCGCAGCGAUCCGCAAGGCCUGCGAUUUCCUUCUUUCUAAGCAGCUCCCAUCAGGUGGCUGGGGUGAGAGCUACCUCUCCUCUCAAAACAAGGUGUGGCUAAUUUUCUCUUUCUCGUGAUACAUGUAAGCUUCUCUUCUUUGCAGGUUUAUACGAACCUGGAAGGUGGUAAGCACCACCUCGUUAACACGGCCUGGGCGAUGCUAGCGCUUAUUGCAGGUGGACAGGCAAGUCUAGACAAUUUAGUUUCAGAAAUGUUUUGGUUUCAAAAUGUUUCUCUCUUUAUCUUGUUUAGGCUGAAAGAGAUUCCACGCCUCUGCAUAAAGCCGCUGCUCUUUUGGUAAACGGACAGCUUGAAGAUGGCGAUUUUCCACAGGAGGUACGUAAUGCUUACAUAUGGUUUUUCCGUCACCUUGUUUGCUUCUUUCUUGCAGGAAAUAAUUGGAGUGUUUAACGGCAACUGCACGAUCAGCUACUCCGCCUACAGGUGUAUCUUCCCAAUCUGGGCACUCGGACAAUACCGCAGCCGCGUGCUCAAGCAUCCAGCAAUUGAGUCUUUUAUUAGUUUUCAGCAACACAUAAACCAUGACACAUAAAGCAUCGCUUUGCUAAAAUUUUACCCAUGGAAUCCCAGCUCGUUUUUAGCUGGCUCGCUGCCGUCCAGUGUUGU